This 401-nucleotide ribosomal RNA is filed under the name uncultured bacterium. Its description in RNAcentral is "bacterial SSU rRNA". It matches the Rfam family "Bacterial small subunit ribosomal RNA", at positions 358 to 773 of the family's 1533-position model. The record is from RNAcentral.
GGAAUAUUGCGCAAUGGGGGAAACCCUGACGCAGCGACGCCGCGUGAGUGAUGAAGGCCUUCGGGUCGUAAAGCUCUGUCGUGUGGGAAGAACACAAUGACGGUACCACACAAGAAAGGACCGGCAAACUUCGUGCCAGCAGCCGCGGUAAUACGAGGGGUCCUAGCGUUGUUCGGAAUUACUGGGCGUAAAGCGCAUGUAGGCGGACUUGUAAGUCGGAUGUGAAAGCCCAGGGCUUAACCCUGGAAGUGCAUCCGAAACUGCAAGCCUUGAGUACGAGAGAGGAUAGUGGAAUUCCUGGUGUAGUGGUGAAAUACGUAGAUAUCAGGAGGAACAUCGGCGGCGAAGGCGGCUGUCUGGCUCGAUACUGACGUUGAGAUGCGAAAGCGUGGGUAGCAAAC